Molecule: long non-coding RNA, 917 nt
Filed under: Pongo abelii (Sumatran orangutan)
Lineage: Eukaryota; Metazoa; Chordata; Mammalia; Primates; Hominidae
Description: lincRNA
Source: RNAcentral
GAGUCCUGAGCCAGCAGAGCUCAGGCCACAGCACCUGCACCCGUUUUCUGCUGCGGCACACAAGGGCUCUGUGCAUUCCUCAUCCAGAAGAUCUUAGAUUAGUAAGAUCAUGUUGGCCACGGCAUGGAGAAUGGGCUGGAGGUGGAGAGACUGGCGGCUGGAAGUCCAGUUAGGAGAUCGCUCCUGCACUGGGGAGCUGGUGUUAGGACAGAAGAUCCAAGACGCAUUUCAGAGAGCCCCUCUUCUUGGGCCUGUGAUUCCUCACCUGGAAGGGAGAAGAGUGGACUUCCUGCCUAGAGAACACCUUGGUAAACACUUUAUGGUUCCUGUCAUGAGAAGGUGUGCAGCUUAGGGAAAAAGCCUGUGAGCUCUGGAAUCAGAUGGAACUGGAUAUAAAUUUCAGUUUAGUGCUUGUUGGAUUAAAUGUGAUGCUAAUGGGUCUCACUAUGUUGCCCAGGCUGAUCUCAAACUCCUGUUCUCAAGCGAUCCUCCUACCCCAGCUUCCCAAAGUGCUGCCGUUCAAGUGAUGGAAUAGAAGUUUGGGGAGCUUAAGAACCUUGUCUAAGAUCACAGAAUUAGCAGGUGGUGGAGCUGGUGGAGCUGGUAUUUGAACCCUGGUCUAUGUGGCUUCCAGUACGCCACUCCCCUAUGCUGAGAUGCUUUGAAAUUGCAACUGCCACGAUCUUGCCCCUUGUGCCCUUUGAUGCCCCCAUGAGGGUGGACUCAGGGCAACAUUUCAGAUGUUAUUCCCAAAUCUCUCCCUGCUCCCCUUGGCUGAAUCCCUGAACUUCUGAAACAAGGCCUCUCUGUGGUUCCUGCUGUGGCCUUGAGGUAGGAUUUGACAAGUUGUCAAGUCCCGAGGUGCUGACCAACAUGCUCAUCUCAAGCUGAAAUAAUAAAAUAAAGAAAUCUCUCCU